Molecule: ribosomal RNA, 543 nt
Filed under: uncultured Glomeromycotina
Lineage: Eukaryota; Fungi; Glomeromycota
Description: SSU rRNA
Rfam family: Eukaryotic small subunit ribosomal RNA
Source: RNAcentral
AGGGCAAGUCUGGUGCCAGCAGCCGCGGUAAUUCCAGCUCCAAUAGCGUAUAUUAAAGUUGUUGCAGUUAAAAAGCUCGUAGUUGAAUUUCGGGGUCAGCAGGUCGGUCGUGCCAAUGGUAUGCACUGGCCUUGCUGAUUCCUCCCUCUUGAUGAGCCGUAAUGCCAUUAAUUUGGUGUUGCGGGGAAUCAGGACUGUUACUUUGAAAAAAUUAGAGUGUUUAAAGCAGGCAAGCGCUUGAAUACAUUAGCAUGGAAUAAUGAAAUAGGACGUUCGAUCCUAUUUUGUUGGUUUCUAGGAUUGACGUAAUGAUUAAUAGGGAUAGUUGGGGGCAUUAGUAUUCAAUUGUCAGAGGUGAAAUUCUUGGAUUUAUUGAAGACUAACUACUGCGAAAGCAUUUGCCAAGGAUGUUUUCAUUAAUCAAGAACGAAAGUUAGGGGAUCGAGGACGAUCAGAUACCGUCGUAGUCUUAACCAUAAACUAUGCCGACUAGGGAUCGGAUGAUGUUAAUUUUUUAAUGACUCAUUCGGCGCCUUACGGGAA